GGAACCUGAUCUUUCUACUGGAAGCAGAAGGAGUCUCUCCACAUAUCCACCACAGCUGGGAUUGUGCUGGGUCAUAUCUGAAGCUAGCACACAUCUAAGUCUCAUCCAAGGCCCACACCUGGUAAGAAAAAUCCACAUCGUGACACGGAAGAGAUGGAGGAAGAAGAGAAAACAAAAGGUCAGAGAUGUAGCCCUACAUAGCUGAUUUUAAAAGGAACUUAAAAUUUUACUUUGGCUAAAAUUGACCUCUCCUGUAAUUUAAUCCAAACCUCUAUUGCUUGUGUGUGGCCAAGUUCAGUAGUCUUUGGAGUCUCACUUCUCUAAUUAUCCAAAUGCAUUUGUUGAAGCCCCAUCCCCUGCCUCCUCCAAAUCCCUUAAUAGGUUUGAUUCUGCUCACUGCUCAUUGCUAUUUUCAUGGUGCCGCUGAAUUCCGCUCUCCUUCUCUGUUUCUAGCCUUUUCAACAUUGCUUUCUCCUCUCAUCCCUGGCAUGAAACACAGAUGCUGGUUAUUCAAUCUCUAAAGCACUGUUCUUUUAAGAAUAAACUUUUACUGAAGAAUGGGGGAUAAAAGAUGGAGCGUAAGCUCAGAACAGCACAGGGAGAAAAUGUACAAGUAAAACUAAGUUAUUUAGUUUAGAGCUUCUUGGUCAGACCCUCCUUAGUCCUGCUUGCCAAUUUGUGCUAGAUUAUUUUUUUCCUGGUGACUGUUUCCCGCACCUCUCCUCCCCAUUCAGGGACCCCAAAGCAUGUUCUUCAGUGACCAGGAAAAUAUUUUAUAUUCUUAAUACUUCAUUAUGGAGAAAAAUUUAUUUCAUUUUGUAUAACCACUGUGUGUUAGUUUCCCAUGGCUUCCUUAACAACUUACUACAAACUGGGUGGCUUAAAGCAACAGAAAUUUAUUUUUCUCAGUUUUGGAGGCCAGAAAUCUGAAAUCAAGGUGUCAGGAAGACCAUGCUCUUUUCAGAGGCUCUAGAGAAGAUUCAUUUUUCUGCCUCCCUCCAGCUUCUUGUGGCUCCAGGCGUUCUUUGAUUCUCCUUGGCUUGUGGCUGCAUCACUGAUUUCCGCUUCCGUGUUCAUGUGGCUCUUCUUCCGCGUGUCUUCUCCUUUCUCUUACAAGGACACUUCGUUGCAUUCAGGGCCCACUCAGGUAAUUCAGGAUGAUCUCAUGCCAAGACCCCUAAUCUAAUUACAUCUACAAAGAUCCCUUAUCCAAGUAAGGUCACCUUCACGGGUUCUGGGAAUUAGGAUUUAGGCAUAUCUUUUGGGGAGCCAUCAUUCAAUGCACGACAUAAUCUAAACAGACUCCAGUUUUCUCAGCUUUAACAGAGACAAUCAAUCAAAUAAGUUUUUGAUUUAAUUUAAAAAUAAAAACAGUAUUUCUGUCUCUCAGAAUAAUUCUGCAGCCCAGUUCUUAGAGCAAAUUACAGUUAGAUUUAAAAGAAUGCUUUUCUUCUCAUUUUAAAGAUUUCUCUUUAAAAAUUGUUAAAAUGACCUAACAUUUUAAAAGACGGAAAAGUAAUUGUAAUAUCAAAAACUUAACACAACUACAUAUUUAUACAAAUGCCUUUAUAAUCUUUGUGUAUAUGUGUGUAUAUAUACAUGUGAAUGUAUAAAUACAUACUUGUAAUCAUGAUGUACUUAACAACUGCAGAUUGUGUUUAAUCUUAGCAUAUUAAAUAAGUUUUUUCAAUGUUUUAACGUAUGUUUUAAUUUACCACUUUUUAAUUUUUUAAUCUUAAUGAUUUAAGAAAGUAUUAGUCAUUGUAGAAAAUACAAAUAAACUAAAAGAAAAAUGAAUCACCUGAAAUUCUUUUAAAAAAGAAAGCCAAUCUGGAGACACAUACAUCUGUUUUGUUUUGUUUUGUUUUGUUUUUUGAGACGGAGUCUCGCUCUGUGGCCAGCCGGGAGUGCAGUGGAGCGAUCUCAGCUAACUGCAGGCUCCCUCUCCUGGGUUCAAGUGAUUCUCUUGCUUCAGCCUCUUGAGUAGCUGGUAUUACAGGCAUGCGGCCCCACACCCAGAUAAUUUUUGUAUUUUUAGUAGAGACGGGGUUUCACCAUGUUGGCCAGGAUGGUCUCAAUCUCCUGACCUUGUGAUCCACCUGCCUCGGCCUCCCAAAGUACUGGGAUUACAGGCGUGAGCCACUGCACCCAGCCUCUGUAUUUUUUAAUUUAAUUAUAUCUUCAUGUUUGUAUGAAUCUAUAUCUGUAGCUGUAUCUACAUUUAUUUAGUUUUGGCUAUAACCCCAUUUCAGGAACUAGUUGACUAAAAAAUAAACUUCUAUUGUUUUUGAAUUAUUACAUAUUUUGUGGUCUUUUAAAAAGUACUGCAACCUCCUCUAUGAAUGAAUACACUUGUUUUUAUAAGUUUUGAAACAUAUUGUUGAAUGACAUUUCUCAAAGCCUAAGCACAGAUGAUAAUCCCUACUGCUUCUUAACCAAGAUUAUAAUGACAAUCUUAGAAUCAAAUGUUAUCAAUUUUAAUAUUUAUUAGAGAAUGUCUGACAACACUUUCUAGAGAUUCUCUUAUUUUAUCAUGUUGCCAAUUUUCCUAAAAAGUGUUAAGUGAGAUUGUUAAGGCUACAAUGGAUGCAAAUAAUGUUAAUACUAUAAUGAAUGCAAAAUUAUUAAUUUAACCAUUCUUCCAUCAUUAAACCUUGUAUAUAUUUCUAAUUUUUUAUUGUUAUGUUUAUACAUAUUGAUUUCUCUGCAGCUAAAUUAUUCAGUUACAUAAAUUUCCCAGAAAUGUGGGUAUUCAGGGAAAUUGUGGAAAUAAAUCUAGUCUUCAUACAGAUUGCAGUUUGCCUUUUAUAAGGGUUAUAUGAAGACAGUUUCAUCAGAGUAUAAGAGUAAACCGGUUUUACCUCAAGUUCAUUAUCAUUGUUGUAUUUUGAUAUUAACAUCAGUAUUUUUAAUAUAAAAGUAAUAGAAUUCCACCAUAAGAUUAGUUUAAUUGCAUUGCUUCUGUCUCAGAAUUGAAGUUUAUAUAAGUUCCUAAAUAGCUUUAAACUCAUUUAAUGUAAUUUAUUUUUGUCUACUUAUUUUUGGG
Molecule: long non-coding RNA, 3046 nt
Filed under: Homo sapiens (human)
Lineage: Eukaryota; Metazoa; Chordata; Mammalia; Primates; Hominidae
Description: HSALNT0125345
Source: RNAcentral